UACGAGUAUGAGAGUUUGAUCAUGGCUCAGAUUGAACGCUGGCGGCAUGCUUUACACAUGCAAGUCGAACGGCAGCGCGGGGCAACCUGGCGGCGAGUGGCGAACGGGUGAGUAAUAUAUCGGAACGUACCCAAGAGUGGGGGAUAACGUAGCGAAAGUUACGCUAAUACCGCAUACGAUCUAAGGAUGAAAGUGGGGGAUCGCAAAACCUCAUGCUCCUGGAGCGGCCGAUAUCUGAUUAGCUAGUUGGUGAGGUAAAGGCUCACCAAGGCGACGAUCAGUAGCUGGUCUGAGAGGACGACCAGCCACACUGGGACUGAGACACGGCCCAGACUCCUACGGGAGGCAGCAGUGGGGAAUUUUGGACAAUGGGCGCAAGCCUGAUCCAGCAAUGCCGCGUGAGUGAAGAAGGCCUUCGGGUUGUAAAGCUCUUUUGUCAGGGAAGAAACGGUUGAGGCUAAUAUCCUCGGCUAAUGACGGUACCUGAAGAAUAAGCACCGGCUAACUACGUGCCAGCAGCCG
This 522-nucleotide ribosomal RNA is filed under the name uncultured Janthinobacterium sp. RNAcentral's name for it is "bacterial SSU rRNA". It matches the Rfam family "Bacterial small subunit ribosomal RNA", at positions 1 to 517 of the family's 1533-position model. Lineage: Bacteria; Pseudomonadati; Pseudomonadota; Betaproteobacteria; Burkholderiales; Oxalobacteraceae. The record is from RNAcentral.